CGCCAGACUCCUACGGGAGGCAGCAGUGGGGAAUAUUGGGCAAUGGGCGCAAGCCUGACCCAGCAACGCCGCGUGAAGGAAGAAGGCUUUCGGGUUGUAAACUUCUUUUCUCAGGGACGAAUAGAUGACGGUACCUGAGGAAUAAGCCACGGCUAACUACGUGCCAGCAGCCGCGGUAAUACGUAGGUGGCAAGCGUUAUCCGGAUUUACUGGGCGUAAAGGGCGCGUAGGUGGGCGCUUAAGUCAGGUGUGAAAACUCCGGGCUCAACCUGGAGACUGCACUUGAAACUGGGCGUCUUGAGGGCAGGAGAGGAAAGUGGAAUUCCUAGUGUAGCGGUGAAAUGCGUAGAUAUUAGGAGGAACACCAGUGGCGAAGGCGACUUUCUGGACUGUACCUGACGCUGAGGCGCGAAAGCGUGGGGAGCGAACGGGAUUAGAUACCCUUGUAGAG
RNAcentral lists this ribosomal RNA (451 nucleotides) under uncultured bacterium. Its description in RNAcentral is "bacterial SSU rRNA". It matches the Rfam family "Bacterial small subunit ribosomal RNA", at positions 329 to 795 of the family's 1533-position model. The record is from RNAcentral.